RNAcentral lists this ribosomal RNA (253 nucleotides) under uncultured bacterium. Its description in RNAcentral is "partial 16S ribosomal RNA". It matches the Rfam family "Bacterial small subunit ribosomal RNA", at positions 524 to 776 of the family's 1533-position model. The record is from RNAcentral.
UACGUAGGGGGCAAGCGUUAUCCGGAUUUACUGGGUGUAAAGGGGGCGCAGACGGCGAUGCAAGCCAGGAGUGAAAGCCCGGGGCCCAACCCCGGGACUGCCCUUGGAACUGCGCGGCUGGAGUGCAGGAGGGGCAGGCGGAAUUCCUGGUGUAGCGGUGAAAUGCGUAGAUAUCAGGAGGAACACCGGUGGCGAAGGCGGCCUGCUGGACUGCGACUGACGUUGAGGCUCGAAAGCGUGGGGAGCAAACAGG